CGAUGGGCCGACGUCGCAUGCUCCCGGCCGCCAUGGUUAGAGUUUGAUCAUGGCUCAGAGCGAACGCUGGCGGCAGGCCUAACACAUGCAAGUCGAACGGACCCUUCGGGGUUAGUGGCGGACGGGUGAGUAACACGUGGGAACGUGCCUUUAGGUUCGGAAUAGCUCCUGGAAACGGGUGGUAAUGCCGAAUGUGCCCUUCGGGGGAAAGAUUUAUCGCCUUUAGAGCGGCCCGCGUCUGAUUAGCUAGUUGGUGAGGUAAUGGCUCACCAAGGCGACGAUCAGUAGCUGGUCUGAGAGGAUGACCAGCCACAUUGGGACUGAGACACGGCCCAAACUCCUACGGGAGGCAGCAGUGGGGAAUCUUGCGCAAUGGGCGAAAGCCUGACGCAGCCAUGCCGCGUGAAUGAUGAAGGUCUUAGGAUUGUAAAAUUCUUUCACCGGGGACGAUAAUGACGGUACCCGGAGAAGAAGCCCCGGCUAACUUCGUGCCAGCAGCCGCGGUAAUACGAAGGGGGCUAGCGUUGCUCGGAAUUACUGGGCGUAAAGGGCGCGUAGGCGGACAUUUAAGUCAGGGGUGAAAUCCCAGAGCUCAACUCUGGAACUGCCUUUGAUACUGGGUGUCUUGAGUGUGAGAGAGGUAUGUGGAACUCCGAGUGUAGAGGUGAAAUUCGUAGAUAUUCGGAAGAACACCAGUGGCGAAGGCGACAUACUGGCUCAUUACUGACGCUGAGGCGCGAAAAGCGUGGGGAACAAACAGGAUUAGAUACCUUGGUAGUCCACGCCGUAAACA
Molecule: ribosomal RNA, 793 nt
Filed under: uncultured Brevundimonas sp.
Lineage: Bacteria; Pseudomonadati; Pseudomonadota; Alphaproteobacteria; Caulobacterales; Caulobacteraceae
Description: partial 16S ribosomal RNA
Rfam family: Bacterial small subunit ribosomal RNA
Source: RNAcentral